GACGAACGCUGGCGGUGUGCCUAAUACAUGCAAGUAGGACGCUGAGGACUGGUGCUUGCACUGGUCUAAGGAGUUGCGAACGGGUGAGUAACGCGUAGGUAACCUACCUCAUAGCGGGGGAUAACUAUUGGAAACGAUAGCUAAUACCGCAUGACAAUAGGGUACACAUGUACCCUAUUUAAAAGGGGCAAAUGCUUCACUAUGAGAUGGACCUGCGUUGUAUUAGCUAGUUGGUAAGGUAACGGCUUACCGAGGCGACGAUACAUAGCCGACCUGAGAGGGUGACCGGCCACACUGGGGCUGAGACACGGCCCAG
Molecule: ribosomal RNA, 316 nt
Filed under: uncultured bacterium
Lineage: Bacteria
Description: bacterial SSU rRNA
Rfam family: Bacterial small subunit ribosomal RNA
Source: RNAcentral